RNAcentral lists this transfer RNA (72 nucleotides) under Bos taurus (domestic cattle). It matches the Rfam family "tRNA". From Rfam's summary of the family: Transfer RNA (tRNA) molecules are approximately 80 nucleotides in length. Their secondary structure includes four short double-helical elements and three loops (D, anti-codon, and T loops). Lineage: Eukaryota; Metazoa; Chordata; Mammalia; Artiodactyla; Bovidae. The record is from Rfam by way of RNAcentral. RNAcentral also lists the same sequence under 5 other names.
UCCCAGGUAGCUCAGAUGGUAAAGAAUCUGUCUGCAAUGCAGGAGACCUGGGUUCAAUCCCUGGGUUGGGAA